Molecule: ribosomal RNA, 336 nt
Filed under: Triticum aestivum (bread wheat)
Lineage: Eukaryota; Viridiplantae; Streptophyta; Magnoliopsida; Poales; Poaceae
Description: partial small subunit ribosomal RNA
Source: RNAcentral
AUGUCACGGUCGUCGAUGGGGCAUGGCGUGCGACAUGAGAUCAAGCAUUUCAUUGCUCAUUGUUUUGUCAUCGUGCUGCAACCAAACAAGCAAUAUGCACACUCGACUGUCGAAGGUCAAGGGUGCCAUACCCUCGAAGGUGUCGGCCUCUCUGUUCCUCAGCGGACUCUUGUGGCUCGCGAUGUCAAAACCCACAGAUUUGUGGGACAAAAGAAGGUCAUCGAGGCUAGGCUGGACACGCUAGAUGGAGCAGAGCAGGAAGGGGCUUGGACGGGACCGUACCGGCGGUGCGACAUAGUAGGCAGGAAUCCUACAAGCUAUGUACAAAGCAACUAA